UUUGUUGAAAGCUUUAGUGGUUUUGGAUGGACUCGCGGCCUAUCAGCUUGUUGGUGAGGUAAUGGCUUACCAAGGCGACGACGGGUAGCCGGCCUGAGAGGGUGACCGGCCACACUGGGACUGAGACACGGCCCAGACUCCUACGGGAGGCAGCAGUGGGGAAUAUUGCACAAUGGGCGAAAGCCUGACGCAGCGACGCCGCGUGAGGGAUGACGGCCUUCGGGUUGUAAACCUCUUUCAGUAGGGAACAAGGCCACACGUUGUGUGGUUGAGGGUACUUGCAGAAGAAGCGCCGGCUAACUACGUGCCAGCAGCCGCGGUAAUACGUAGGGCGCAAGCGUUAUCCGGAAUUAUUGGGCGUAAAGAGCUCGUAGGCGGUUUGUCGCGUCUGCCGUGAAAGUCCGGGGCUCAACUCCGGAUCUGCGGUGGGUACGGGCAGACUAGAGUGAUGUAGGGGAGACUGGAAUUCCUGGUGUAGCGGUGAAAUGCGCAGAUAUCAGGAGGAACACCGAUGGCGAAGGCAGGUCUCUGGGCAUUAACUGACGCUGAGGAGCGAAAGCAUGGGGAGCGAACAGGAUUAGAUACCCUGGUAGUCCAUGCCGUAAACGUUGGGCACUAGGUGUGGGGGACAUUCCACGUU
Molecule: ribosomal RNA, 640 nt
Filed under: uncultured bacterium
Lineage: Bacteria
Description: bacterial SSU rRNA
Rfam family: Bacterial small subunit ribosomal RNA
Source: RNAcentral